CCUACGGGAGGCAGCAGUGAGGAAUAUUGGUCAAUGGUCGGGAGACUGAACCAGCCAAGCCGCGUGAGGGAGGAAGGUACAGAGUAUCGUAAACCUCUUUUGUCAGGGCACAAAGGCGGGGACGUGUCCCCGGCUGAGUGUACCUGAAGAAAAAGCAUCGGCUAACUCCGUGCCAGCAGCCGCGGUAAUACGGAGGAUGCGAGCGUUAUCCGGAUUUAUUGGGUUUAAAGGGUGCGCAGGCGGUCUGUUAAGUCAGCGGUCAAAGCCCGGGGCUCAACCCCGGCCCGCCGUUGAAACUGGCAGUCUCGAGUUGGAGAGAAGUAUGCGGAAUGCGCGGUGUAGCGGUGAAAUGCAUAGAUAUCGCGCAGAACUCCGAUUGCGAAGGAAGCAUGCCGGCUCCACACUGACGCUGAGGCACGAAAGCGUGGGUAUCGAACAGGAUUAGAUACCCCGGUAGUC
This 459-nucleotide ribosomal RNA is filed under the name uncultured bacterium. Its description in RNAcentral is "partial 16S ribosomal RNA". It matches the Rfam family "Bacterial small subunit ribosomal RNA", at positions 338 to 795 of the family's 1533-position model. The record is from RNAcentral.